This 405-nucleotide ribosomal RNA is filed under the name uncultured bacterium. Its description in RNAcentral is "bacterial SSU rRNA". It matches the Rfam family "Bacterial small subunit ribosomal RNA", at positions 354 to 776 of the family's 1533-position model. The record is from RNAcentral.
GUGGGGAAUAUUGCACAAUGGGGGAAACCCUGAUGCAGCGACGCCGCGUGAGUGAAGAAGUAUUUCGGUAUGUAAAGCUCUAUCAGCAGGGAAGAUAAUGACGGUACCUGACUAAGAAGCCCCGGCUAACUACGUGCCAGCAGCCGCGGUAAUACGUAGGGGGCAAGCGUUAUCCGGAUUUACUGGGUGUAAAGGGUGCGCAGGUGGCAGGGCAAGUCAGAUGUGAAAGCCCGGGGCUCAACCCCGGUAUUGCAUUUGAAACUGUCCGGCUAGAGUGCAGGAGAGGUAAGCGGAAUUCCUAGUGUAGCGGUGAAAUGCGUAGAUAUUAGGAGGAACACCAGUGGCGAAGGCGGCUUACUGGACUGUAACUGACACUGAGGCACGAAAGCGUGGGGAGCAAACAGG